This 496-nucleotide ribosomal RNA is filed under the name uncultured bacterium. Its description in RNAcentral is "partial 16S ribosomal RNA". It matches the Rfam family "Bacterial small subunit ribosomal RNA", at positions 29 to 507 of the family's 1533-position model. The record is from RNAcentral.
AUGAACGCUGGCGGCGUGCCUAAUACAUGCAAGUCGAGCGAACGGACGAGAAGCUUGCUUCUCUGAAGUUAGCGGCGGACGGGUGAGUAACACGUGGAUAACCUACCUAUAAGACUGGGAUAACUUCGGGAAACCGGAGCUAAUACCGGAUAAUAUUUUGAACCGCAUGGUUCAAAAGUGAAAGACGGUCUUGCUGUCACUUAUAGAUGGAUCCGCGCUGCAUUAGCUAGUUGGUAAGGUAACGGCUUACCAAGGCAACGAUGCAUAGCCGACCUGAGAGGGUGAUCGGCCACACUGGAACUGAGACACGGUCCAGACUCCUACGGGAGGCAGCAGUAGGGAAUCUUCCGCAAUGGGCGAAAGCCUGACGGAGCAACGCCGCGUGAGUGAUGAAGGUCUUCGGAUCGUAAAACUCUGUUAUUAGGGAAGAACAUAUGUGUAAGUAACUGUGCACAUCUUGACGGUACCUAAUCAGAAAGCCACGGCUAACUACGUG